UUCACAUUUUCUCUCUCAUCACCACGUACUCCUCGUUCUCCUCUCCUCUCUAUCACUACUCUCGAGGCGAGUCGAACGAAGGUACCUUUCUCUCUCUAAUUGUGUAAUGCUAUUUGCAUAUAGAUCGUUUUAACAUUUCUUAUAUGUCUGAUCUCCGUUUUGCAUAUGUAUGUUUGUAUAUUCAUUUCAUUGUUUUUACGCUUUUCUCUCCAUAGAUCUGUAAAAUGUUGAGAAUUUUCGGUUUUAUAACUUUACUGAAUAUAUCGAGUUCGUCGUUUUAAUUUUAAUUGUUUUUCUCACUCUUCUCCGCCGAGAUCUGUGAAAUAUCACCUUUUUUUUGGAUUUGUAACUUUAAUGAGCUUCAUUUCAUAGUAGUCAAUGUAUAUAUGUUCAUUUUAUGAUUUUUUUACAGUUUUCGCUACUUAGAUCUGUGAAAUAUAACGGAUUUCUGGUUUUUAACGUUAAUGAGUCUUGUUUCGCAGUAGAUAUAAAGGUGUUAUGGAGAUCUGCUAUUGUUUUUGUUAGAACUGUGGUGUAGUUUAACGGAUCUGUUUUUUUGCUGAUCUGAUUUAUGUUUUCAGUGCUUUUUUGAUUGUUUAUUCUGCAGAUCUGGUCAACGAUUUAUAGUUUUGAUCUGUUCAUUUUGCUGCACCACGGUAAAACUUGGUGAAUUUUACUAGUACUAAUAUUUUUAAGUGUAUGUAAAACUGCUACUUCUAGUACUUUUAAUAUGAUAUUUAAAUGAUUAAAGUUAAUUAUUGAAGAGUGACUUAAUACGCUCGUGUGUAUGUGGGUUUGUUUAAGUUUGUAUUAUGAUGCUCGAAUAUAUGAGUAUAGGAAUCUAUUUGUCAGGGCAUAAUAUGAAUACAGUAAGUAUUUCGUGCCACAGAUAAUGAGAAUUGUUUUGGAAUUGGUACUGCUAUAACAAUUCUUUUUGUAAAACUAAAUUGGUUAUGAAAUUGGAAUUGAUUCUGUACUAGACUAGUAGUGAUGCACUGCUUGUUUUGUGAUUUUGUUUUUGUAGGAAUGGGAAGUUAAGGUUUCUAUGUUAGACUAGAUAAUAUCUCAUAUAGUUCUUAGAUUAAUCAUUAACCUUUAUAUAGGAUGGACCAGUGUGAUGCUUGAUCUUGGCACUUAGUGCCCCUUUUUAUUGCAAUUUCCAGAUAGAGAUUUUUGUUUUUUGUUUGAAAGUUGUGCUGAUUGUGUCAUUAUGUUUGUGUAAAGUUGGUGAAUUUUGAGCUUUGAAUGCACAUUUUCUGUUAUAAACUAUUUAGAGAUUUGACUUCAAUGAGAUUUAUCAUGUGAUUUUAGCUUAAAAGUGUAAGUUAUUGUAGUUUAUGUAGCUUAUUACUAUGUAGAUGUAAGAAAACGGGCAGUUACAUUUCUAAAGCGGCAAAAGGAAUUGCCAUUUCAAGACAACUGGUAAAUGUGAGAAUACCACGUCUAAUUGAUUUGAUUAAGGUUCAUGUUUGAGUUGGUAUAUGUUGUAACUGGUUUUUCUGUAAUGCUGAACAUGCAGUUGAAUGAUGAGAAGUAAGAUAUUUUCUUUUAGUUGUUAUGACAGCAAUUUUGUGUACUUCGCUGAAUUUGUGGACGGCUUUUGUCCGUGGAGAGCUUAAAUGCAGAGAUCUGAUUCCAAUGCUCUAACUGUGCAGGACUUCGUUAAACAUUGCAAUGGCAGAUAUGAACCAGCACCCAACUGUCUUCCAGAAGGCAGCUAACCAGCUACACCUGAGCUCAAGUCUUUCCCAAGAUGUCCAUGCUCGCCAUGGGGGUGUGCAGCCUGCUGUUUACCAGAGGCGUUUUGCUUAUGGCAACUACUCUAAUGCUGGACUACAA
Molecule: long non-coding RNA, 1839 nt
Filed under: Nicotiana tabacum (common tobacco)
Lineage: Eukaryota; Viridiplantae; Streptophyta; Magnoliopsida; Solanales; Solanaceae
Description: long non-coding RNA (NTAB_LNC006091)
Source: RNAcentral